RNA transcript from Panicum virgatum (switchgrass), 995 nucleotides. It is a transcript of the gene named 60S ribosomal protein L9-like, with no coding region annotated. The transcript has 3 exons. Lineage: Eukaryota; Viridiplantae; Streptophyta; Magnoliopsida; Poales; Poaceae. The record is from RefSeq and is a predicted model, not a curated record.
AACAAUGAGCCGGCCCAGCCCAAUCAAUAAAAUGAGCCCACUGAAAAAAUAAGUGAGCCCAGCCCAUCCUUCUCUCCUACCUAGGGUAACCCGCGGCGGCCCUCCCGUUCCCGUAUAAAAUCCGCGCUCGUCUCUCUCGCCUCCUCCCCUCCGCCGCCGCCGAAUCAGCCACACCCGCCGGCCAAGAUGAAGACCAUCCUGGCUUCCGAAACGAUGGACGUCCCCGAGGAGGCCACCGUCAAGGUGGCGGCGAAGGUGGUCACGGUGGAGGGGCCGCGCGGCAGGCUCACCCGCAACUUCAAGCACCUCAACCUCGACUUCCAGCUGCAGGGACGGCGGCCGCAAGCUCAAGGUCGACGCCUGGUUCGGCACCCGCCGCACCAUGGCCGCCAUCCGCACCGCCAUCUCCCACGUCCAGAACCUCAUCACCGGCGUCACCAAGGGAUACCGCUACAAGAUGCGAUUCGUCUACGCUCACUUCCCCAUCAACGCCUCCAUCACCAACGCAAACACCGCCAUCGAGAUCAGGAACUUUCUCGGAGAGAAGAAGGUGAGGAAGGUUGACAUGCUUGAAGGUGUGACCAUUCUGCGUUCUGAGAAGGUCAAGGAUGAGCUCAUUCUUGAUGGCAAUGAUAUCGAGCUUGUCUCUCGCUCUGCUGCCCUAAUAAAUCAGAAAUGCCACGUAAAGAAUAAGGAUAUCAGGAAGUUCUUGGAUGGUAUCUAUGUGAGUGACAAGGGUCCAAUCGCGGAGGAGCAGUGAGCUCUUUGCUGCUGCUAGGGAAACCUGUGUUAGACAGAGUUGGGUUCAUCGUUUUUGUGCUGUGUUUUUUGGUUAGUCAAUUACAAACUUCACAAGUUUAUCAGUUUUUUAUCUGUUUUGUACUGUUUUAGGAUGCUAUGUAAUUGGAGAGGCGCUCCUAUGCUAUUGUCAUUGUUUGUGAGAUUAUUUUCGUGUUCAAAUUCCCCUACAUACCUCUCCCGUUCCUGGUUGACUC